GGCUGGGGGUGAAAGGCCAAUCAAACCGGGAGAUAGCUGGUUCUCCCCGAAAGCUAUUUAGGUAGCGCCUCGUGAACUCAUCUCCGGGGGUAGAGCACUGUUUCGGCUAGGGGGCCAUCCCGGCUUACCAACCCGAUGCAAACUGCGAAUACCGGAGAAUGUUAUCACGGGAGACACACGGCGGGUGCUAACGUCCGUCGUGAAGAGGGAAACAACCCAGACCGCCAGCUAAGGUCCCAAAGUCAUGGUUAAGUGGGAAACGAUGUGGGAAGGCCCAGACAGCCAGGAUGUUGGCUUAGAAGCAGCCAUCAUUUAAAGAAAGCGUAAUAGCUCACUGGUCGAGUCGGCCUGCGCGGAAGAUGUAACGGGGCUAAACCAUGCACCGAAGCUGCGGCAGCGAACGUAUCACCCAAGACAACUUUGCGGAGUUGACGAUUGACGGAGCGAAGCGACGUCAAAGCGUUCAUUAAAGUCGAGUUGGCUUAGGGAUACGUUCGUUGGGUAGGGGAGCGUUCUGUAAGCCAGUGAAGGUGUGUCGUGAGGCAUGCUGGAGGUAUCAGAAGUGCGAAUGCUGACAUAAGUAACGAUAAAGCGGGUGAAAAGCCCGCUCGCCGGAAGACCAAGGGUUCCUGUCCAACGUUAAUCGGGGCAGGGUGAGUCGACCCCUAAGGCGAGGCCGAAAGGCGUAGUCGAUGGGAAACGGGUUAAUAUUCCCGUACUUGGUGUUACUGCGAAGGGGGGACGGAGAAGGCUAUGUUGGCCGGGCGACGGUUGUCCCGGUUUAAGCGUGUAGGUGUGUGUUCCAGGUAAAUCCGGUU
RNAcentral lists this ribosomal RNA (818 nucleotides) under Salmonella enterica subsp. enterica. RNAcentral describes it as "partial 23S ribosomal RNA". It matches the Rfam family "Bacterial large subunit ribosomal RNA", at positions 813 to 1547 of the family's 2925-position model. The record is from RNAcentral. Lineage: Bacteria; Pseudomonadati; Pseudomonadota; Gammaproteobacteria; Enterobacterales; Enterobacteriaceae.